AUUGAACGCUGGCGGCAUGCCUUACACAUGCAAGUCGAACGGCAGCGCGGGGCAACCUGGCGGCGAGUGGCGAACGGGUGAGUAAUAUAUCGGAACGUACCCUGGAGUGGGGGAUAACGUAGCGAAAGUUACGCUAAUACCGCAUACGAUCUAAGGAUGAAAGUGGGGGAUCGCAAGACCUCAUGCUCCUGGAGCGGCCGAUAUCUGAUUAGCUAGUUGGUAGGGUAAAAGCCUACCAAGGCAUCGAUCAGUAGCUGGUCUGAGAGGACGACCAGCCACACUGGAACUGAGACACGGUCCAGACUCCUACGGGAGGCAGCAGUGGGGAAUUUUGGACAAUGGGCGCAAGCCUGAUCCAGCAAUGCCGCGUGAGUGAAGAAGGCCUUCGGGUUGUAAAGCUCUUUUGUCAGGGAAGAAACAGGUCUUCUAAUAAAGAGACCUAAUGACGGUA
This 451-nucleotide ribosomal RNA is filed under the name uncultured bacterium. RNAcentral describes it as "bacterial SSU rRNA". It matches the Rfam family "Bacterial small subunit ribosomal RNA", at positions 30 to 477 of the family's 1533-position model. The record is from RNAcentral.